Molecule: RNA transcript, 2177 nt
Organism: Lampris incognitus (smalleye Pacific opah)
Lineage: Eukaryota; Metazoa; Chordata; Actinopteri; Lampriformes; Lampridae
Gene name: N-acetylmuramoyl-L-alanine amidase-like
Exons: 6
Source: RefSeq, a predicted model, not a curated record
GGUUAGUCUUAGAAGUUAUUUUGGAGAGCACAGUAUGUGUUUGAUUUAUAUUGGAAAGCGUGCAAGUGAAGAUUGGUGUAAAAUUGUAUUAGUGUCCUACUAAGUCAAGUUAGGGGGCAUUGACUUAUAGUCAUUUACUUGUGGGGAAAGUUCAGUUUCUUUCAGAAAGCAACUUUUGGAAAAAAAACAAACUUAUGAGAGACAACAUGACUUGGUUUGGACUGUCGUUCUUCUUUAUUCUGGCUGCAUCAUAUUUCAGUGUCUACGGCAAGCCUACAGGAGUCCAUCUACGAAAUAUGGACAGCUUCAUCAGUGCUGUGGAGCAGGUUGAGAACUCCAACCCUGGUUUAUCUCCUCUGACUCUGGUCAGGGCCCUCCGGACCACUGCAGGUCAUGACGAUCCAUUAACCAUCCAUUACCUUGGCGCCUCUAACAAACUCGGCGACUCUAAGACCCUAGAGACAGCCAUCUUGAACGCAACCUCUUUCAGUUUCUUUGACAAGGCUAGCCACCAUGUCGUGACAGACUACGGAGAGGAGCGAGGGGUGGUUCUCACCCCGGAUGGCACCACAGUAGCCUUGGCACCACUUUUGCUUGGCAUCGAAGUGGGGCUGAAGGCCAAAAUGGAGGCUGCACCGACUGUGGGUAUGUUCCCUCUCACCUUAGCAAGAACUUUAGGUCUGUCCUUCCUCAGCCUUCAGGACUUCCCACCGUCUCAUCGUCUGGGGCCAGAUGGCUGCUGGGACAGUGUCGUGCAGCCUAGGGUGUUCAAGUUGGCUCGGCCACCCACUCUGGCCACAAAUAGUCUAAUUAAUGGCGGCAUGGAUGGCGCUAUACUGGGUACGCUCUUGAGCAAUCUAUCUGCCUCUGAACAACUGCAAAACCUCAGUACAACUUUGAAAGGAUACUACAGCUAUGUUCUGCCUGAGGGGCAGGGGCUUGACGGUGUAUCUCACCCUGUCAGUCCAAACCGAAGGGAGAUCUCUAGAUCCAUUCUGGAACCCCUUGAUCCUCACAAGCAAGUGAUUGAGACCCUGAAACUGAUCUGGAAGUUGGAAGGGACAGAAUGGAUCUCUCUGGACACCAAUGUGGAGAAGUCAGUGAAGGAAGGAUUGCAGGCAUUUGUCUACAAGUACUGGGACUGCCCUGCUAUUAUUCCACGGUGUCAAUGGGGCGCUGAAGCCUAUCAUGGAACACCGGUCCCGCUGUCUUUGCCCCUUGCCUUCCUAUACAUCCACCACACCUAUCAGCCAUCCUCGCCCUGUCUGUCCUUCCCACAAUGCUCCAAAGACAUGAGGGCCAUGCAGCGCUACCAUCAGGAGGACCGCGGCUGGGGUGACAUCGGAUACAGCUUUGUGGUAGGCUCUGACGGAUAUGUCUAUGAGGGCAGAGGUUGGCACCAUCUUGGAAGACACACCAGGGGGCACAACUCCUUGGGGUACGGUGUGUCAAUCAUCGGCAACUAUACCUCCGUUUUGCCGCCCCGUCAUUCCAUGGACCUGUUGCGCCACCGCCUGGUUCAGUGUGCGGUGGACGGAGGGAGACUGGUGGCCAACUUUACCUUCCACGGACAUCGCCAGAUGGUGAACUACACCUCCUGCCCUGGGGAUGCCUUCUAUUCCGAAGUCACUACAUGGAAUCAUUUCAAGGAAAUUGACUCGGAGAAGCAGAAGAAAGAAAAAGACAAACAAGUGGAAUAAGUGUGGAUGCGGCUGUUAAUACCGGUCUUGUGUAGUGGCCUCGAGUCUCCCGCCGACAUGCGGGGGAUUCGUCACCAGCUGUGAAGUACCUCAAGGUUAUUGUGAGUAAAUGUCCAGAACCUUGAAGGCUUUCUUCAGGACUGCAGAGGGCCAGCUCCAUGCAAUGCAGCUCCAGAGCUUUAGCCAGGGGAGCAAGAGCAGGGACAGAUCUGACAGGUGGCAAAUGGACAAGGGGAAAAUUAGAGCACUUGUUGCUAUAGUGGCGGCGCGGUGGCACAGUGGUUAGCACGGUCGCCUCACAGCAAGAAGGUCCUGGGUUGCUGACCGGUUACAGCGAGUCUGGGGUACGAACCUCCCAGCCACAUGAGGAGCGGACUGCAAGAAUGGCGGUUUAUUCCGCUUGGCCAUCAGAGCGGCCAUUGCUACACAUUUAUGACACUCUGCGUCCUUGUUAUGUUUCAUUUACUUAAAUAAAGA